This 1044-nucleotide long non-coding RNA is filed under the name Homo sapiens (human). RNAcentral's name for it is "HSALNT0327071". Lineage: Eukaryota; Metazoa; Chordata; Mammalia; Primates; Hominidae. The record is from RNAcentral.
UGGUCCCUUGGAGUUCACAGUCUAAUGGGGAAGACAGGAUAUAAGCAAGUAGUUUCAGCAUAGCUUUGGAAUUGCAUGCAGAGAAGUGAGUGAAGUGAGUGAGGGCCCAGCCAAGGGUCUCACUCUGUUGCCCAGGCUGGAGUGCAGUGGCGUGAUCUAAGCUCACUGCAACCUCUGUCUCCCAGGUUUAAGCGAUUCUCCUGCCUCAGCCUCCUAAGUAGCUGGGAUUACAAGACGCCUGUCACCACACCUGGCUAAUUUUUGUAUUUUUAGUAGAGAUGGGGUUUCACCGUGUCGGCCAGGCUGGUCUUGAAUUCCUGACCUCAAGUGAUCCGCCCUCUUUGACCUCCCAAAGUGCUGGUAUUACAGGCAUGAGUCACCGCGCAGGGCCUGAAUGAGUUAUCUUAAGAAUAAUAUCACUGAAGAUACCAUACUGGUUAACAAUUACUACAUAAUAAAUUACUCCCCCAAACCAGUAGCUUAAAACCUUCAUUUCAUUUUGUUCACGGUUUUCUGGGAAUUCAGGAAGUACUCAGUCCAGGCAGCUCUCUGUUGGGUUCUCUCAUGCAGUUGCAGUCAGAUGUUGACUCUGGCUCCAGUGACAUAAGGAUCAACUGUCAUAGGUCCAGCAGUUGAGGCCCAGCUCUGCCAUAGGUCCAGCAGUUGACAUGUCUGCAGUGAGCUUGGCAGAGGCUAAUAAGCGUAUCUACACCAGCAUGGCUGUCUCAGGGUAAUCAGACUUUUUACAUGGCGGAAGACUUUCUCCAGAAAGGCUCAAGAGAAUCAGACAAGGGCUUUUUCCAGCCAGCCUCAGACAUCACACAGCAUCACUACAAGGUUCAACUGUUUCCUAUUGAGUCACUAAGAUUGGACCUCUCUAGAUGGGAGGAGUAUCAAAUAACUUGCAGAUACAUUUUUAAACUGCCAUACAUGUGCUUUUGUGUUUUUCUUCGCAAACAGCUCAGCAUGUAUUCUCUUUAGCUAAAGACCCCAGUAGUUUUUGAGUUCAUUUUGUGCUUCCAGAACCUAGCACAGGGUAUGUGU